AUCUGCCUGCCUCUGCCUUCCAAGUGCUGGGAUUAAAGGCGUGCGCCACCACUGCCCAGCAACACAAGCCAUUCCUCGUUAGGUGAUGCUGCCCUCUUCCUUCAGUCACCCUAUAGUUCCGCCAAGUCACUUGCUGGUUUCUCACUGUUUGCUUGGAAUAUCCCUCCUUCCUGUAUUUCCCUGCAGGAUUGUUGUUCAGCUUCUCUUUAGAAUCCCAACCAUUCUACUUCCUUCAGUGAAAAUCCCCUUAGCCCUCUGUCAGACCAGGACCAUCUUACUGUAUGAUGCAUCUGUCUUCCCUGUUAGGGUAGGAUCUAGGUCUGGUAAUCCCUAUAGUAGGGGUAGGAGCUCAGGGCCUAAGUGCGCAGUUGUGCAAACAGGUCAGUUUCUUGGAAUUCUCAAAGUCAAGUGGCAAAGAAAGCUAAUGGAGGUGACAAAGGACAAAAUCCUAAAGCCAUGGUUUCAGACCGAGGCAAGUCGUGGUAACUGGAGAUGGUAACUCUAGGAACAGAGGUCAUGAUAGUGAGAUAGAACAUCUGCUUUUAGGAUUUUAUAGAAAACUUUCAUUUGUUUUAUGUGUACAAGUGUUUAUACACCAUGUGUGUGCCCGGUGCCCACGAAGACGGCAAAAGAGGAUGUUGGGUUCCCGGAACUAGAGUUACACACCAUUGUGAGCCAACCUAUGGGUGCUAUGACCCAGACUUGGUCCUCUACAAGAGCAGCAAAUGCUCUUAUCUGCUGAGCCAGCUCUUCAGCCUAGGAAUCUUUAAAUUUAAGGGCAGGGUAUUGCUUAGCUGCCCACGCUUGUCUCAAACUCUAGAUGCGCCUCUCCUCAUCUCCCGAGUAACAGGAUCACAGACAGCAACACACCUGGCUGAACUUUGGAUUGCAUUUAUUUUUAGGUGCUUUAAUUUUAAAUUACAUAUACUUAGUGUCUGUGUGUGUGCAUGUGCACGUGUGUGAAGUGUGUGCGAGUGUGAGCAUGUAGAAGUCAGAGGAUAGUUUGCAGGAUCUGGCUCUCUCCUCCCACAAUGUGGGUCCUGGGACUGAACUAAGGUCAUCAGACAAGCACCUUUCCCUGCUUGAACUGUCUUGCCAGCCCCUGAGUACAGGAUUGCUUGAGACAGGGUCUCACUAUGUAGCUCUGGCUGUCCUGGAACUCACAGAGAUCCUCUUGCCUCUGCUGGGAUGAAAAGUGUGCACCGCAAUGCCAGGAUAGAAUUCAGAUACUUUUGAGGUUUCAGAAUUGUGGGAUUUCCUGAGUAAACAAAGUAGGUAACUUUUAAAUAAGGUAGUGUAGUAGAUAACUUGACAGCAGUGGUGUUGAGCCUGUAAAAGGUCUUAUCUGGCCAUAUAAAAAUGACAUCUAGAGGCUGGAGAGCUGGCUUAGCAGGUGAGAGCACUGGCUGCUCUUCCAAAGGACUCAUGUUUGGUUCCCAGGACAGUGACUGGCAACUGUCCAGUUUUAGAGGAUCCUGUGCACACCCAUGGUACACAGGCAUCCAUGCAGGCAAAACACAUAAAUAUACAUAAAUAACAUCUUAAAAUUUUAGAAACAUUCAAAAAAGAAUAAAGCCAAAGGUAGCAGUCAUGUGAUAUCCCCAGUUGGUAGGAUGCCAAACUUACCCUUAACUCUGUAUUGUGCUUUUCUUGUGAGGCUGUUUUUACUCUUACAAAAUACCUGUUGUUGCUGGGCAGCGGUGGAGCAUGCCUUUAAUCCCAGCAUUCGGAGGCAGAGGCAGGAGGAUCUCUGUGAGUUUGAGGCCAGCCUGGUCUACAGAGCAAGUUCCAGUACAGGCUCCAAAGCUACACAGAGAAACCCUGUCUCAAAAAACCAAAAACUAAAACAAAAACAAAAAUGCCUGUUGUCAGGCAGCAAGGGGCAGAGUGAGCUGUGACUCAUGGCAUGUUUUAAAUGCUCUACUGUGUAUGUUCAUGAUCGUGUGUGCACCUGUGUGUGCAGGCAUGAGUGGGGGCUAGAGUUCUUCCUUAAUUGCUGUCUUCCUUAGUUUUGGGGACAAGGUUUCAGCUGGCAACUGAACGGUCCAGCUAGUCUGGCUGGCCUGCACACUCAGAGAUCCUCCUGUCCUCACACCCAUUGCUGGGGUUCUAGGUAUGACUGCUCCCCCUGGCUGUGAGUACUGGAGACAGAAUUCAGGUUCUCCCAUUUGCAGUGUCGUAGCUGAGGUUCCUGUUGCUGUGAAGAGACACUAUGACCAUGGACUCUUACAUUUAAUUGAGGUGGUGGUUUACAGUUCAGAGAUUUCAGCCCAUUAUCAUGGCAGGGAGCAUGGCGGCGUGCAGGCAGACAUGGUGCUGGCUGUAUCUUGAUCAGAAAGCAUCAGGAAGUAGCCUGUGACUCUGGGCAGGAUCCUGAGCAUAGGAAACCUCAAAAGCCCGUUCCCACAGAGACACACUUCCUCCAACAAGGCCAUACCCACCUCAACAAAGCCACAGCUCCUAAUAGUGCCCCUCCCUGUGAGCUUAUGGGGACCAGUUACGUUCAGACUACCGCAUACAACAACACUUCAUUAUCUCCCCAGACCCUCUUUUUUUCUUUAGUCUCAAAGACAGCAGCUUUCCUGGAAUGCCUCUUCCCAGGAAGGCUGGCUGCAUGGUAUUAACUCAAAUUCUGCUACUGGGUUCCCCUAAGUACCAAGAAAAUCAGAGAAAUCAAGCCUUAUCCAGCUGUGGGACACUGCAGGACAAGAGCGGUUCAGGAAGAGCAUGGUUCAGCACUACUACAGGAACGUGCACGCUGUCGUCUUUGUCUAUGACAUGACCAACAUGGCCAGCUUCCACAGCCUGCCAUCUUGGAUCGAGGAAUGCAAGCAGCACUUGCUGGCAAGUGAUAUACCCCGCAUCCUGGUUGGAAAUAAAUGUGACUUGAGAAGCGCCAUUCAGGUGCCCACAGACUUGGCACAGAAGUUUGCUGACACACACAGUAUGCCUUUGUUUGAGACCUCGGCUAAAAACCCCAAUGAUAAUGACCACGUAGAAGCUAUAUUUAUGACAUUGGCUCAUAAGCUGAAGAGCCACAAGCCAUUGAUGCUUAGCCAGCCACCUGAUAACAGAGUUAUCCUGAAACCUGAAACAAAGCCCGCGGUGCCCUGCUGGUGCUGAGUCACAGGUAUGCCCAUCACGGGUCUGACUGAGUCUGAAGUUGUGUAAUUACGUGUGUAAGAUUAACUCUUCAACACCAUGGAUCAUCCCGCUGGUACCGUUGUUGCGCUGCCUUUUGUAUUUUCAUCCUCUUACUGAGUUUGUCACUGUGACUGUUCAAGGCGAAGGCCAGUUUACAGCUGGGAUGGAAAAGGAAGCAAAGACGGGACGACCAGGUCUUCUUUCCGGUCCCAGGUCUCCCUUGAGCAUGAUGGGACCUCAAGGCUCAGUCUGGCGCCCACGCCGUGUUCCUGAACUGGGAAAGAAAUGCCGUGUAGAGCACACUUACUGCGUGGAGCUAACUGCAAAUAGCGAGUUACUGAGGUGCUUUUUAUUGUACGGUGGCAUAUAAGUACUAAAAAACUAAUCAGAAGAAUUCAGGCAGUUGUAAUGGGAAUUUAUUUUAGCCAUGACUUUUAAUUAGUCGCAAAGCUGGUUCCUGGUGCCCCUUGUCCUCCACUCGUGGUGAGUUGGGUGACUCAGGGCUGGAUUCAGUCAACAUCCAUCUGCCAGAGCUCUGAAGGCACGCCGCAAGUUCCCGAAUCUACAUGGAUUCCUGUCAUAGUAGCAUUGACUUAGUUUUUUUUUUUAAAUGUUUGCGUUUUAUGUCCACAAACUGUUCCUUUGGACAAAAGGAAUUAAUUUUUUUUCUUUGGUUUUUCGAGACAGGGUUUCUCUGUAGCUUUGGAGCCUGUUCUGUAGCUUCCUCUGUAGACCAAGCUGGCUGCAAACUCACUGAGAUCCACCUGUCCCUGCCUCCCAGGUGCUGGGAUUAAAGGUGUGCGCCUUCACCUCCUGGCUUGAAAAAUAUCUUAACUGUCCCUCAGUGGUGAAAGAAAUAGUUUAAUUAUUUUUUUUUUUUUGCCCUAAGCACUUUUAGUUUAAAUUUGAGACUUUGCACAAAGGACACAGCACAUUUCCAUAUGGAGCUCUUUGCAGAAUGUCGUGUGAGCGCGUUCAGCUAAGCGUGCAGCUCCUCAUUCUGACAGCUUGCAGUUCUGGGCCAUUUUAGAGGAAAUUAAGGCAAAAUAGAUUUUACUUAAAUGUUUUCAGAGUGUGGGGAACAAGGGUACUCCGACCUAGUUUCAGAGUUUUGUUUUAUUAUUCUGAAGGUCCCAGUUGGAAAAUUCAGUUACAAAAGCAAAAUUUUCUAUUUAGUAAGCUAAGUGAAAAUGAAACUUGUACGAAAUGGUUGUCCAGUUUUACAUACAGGGCCAUGUUGGCUUUAUUUGCAUCUAGAGAGAUUUUUCUUUUUCUCUUUUUAAGUACAGGGUCUCACUUUGUAGGCCUAACUGGCCUGGGACCAGGGUGGCCUCCGACUUACAGAUAUCCACCUGCCUCAUCCUCCAGCCAUUUGGGAUUAAAGGUUUGUGUCACUAGAACUAGCCUACUACAGUUUUCCUAAUCAUGCUAUGACUAAAGAUUUAGCUAAAUUAAUGCUGACUCGGGAACUGUUUUUCUAGUGAAACGUAAUGGCCGUAGUAGCUGGUGGCUGUAGCCAUUCUUACAGAAGGGCGUCUGUUCAUUGUUUUCAACACUGUACAGCUGGGAGAACAGAGAGGCCUUCUAGGCGGGUGCCUUCUUCCUACUGUUCUCGGGAUUGUUUCUUCAGCACUAUUAAUAAUUAUUUCUCUUUUUAAAGUAGCAGACUUUUUUUUGUAAGGAGUUAGUGAGCUUUCUUUACAGUUCUGUGAAAAGCAUUAUUUUUCCACUUUAGUAUUUAUUAAUUAAAACAUUUGUAUCUCAUUUGUAAUGACCUACUACUUUAAGUUUUUAGUUUCUUAUUUUAAAAAGAUACUUGUCAGGAGAGCAAGAUUAGGCCUUUGGAUGUAUGUAGCCCAGGGUGUUGGGAGGCACUUCACUGACUGUUGACCUGUGUCCAAAUGGUGGUGAGCUGACCUCUAGUUACUAAUUUUUUAAGCACAAAUCAGACAUUUUGUAUCUCUGUGAAUUUAUUUUAACUGACAUUUAAUUGGAAGUAUCAGAUGUUUUAGAAAAAUCUUUAUCUAAGAACACCAAAGCGAACUCCUUCCGGAUCUGUUGUGGUUGGCUGCGAACCGCGUGGCUGUCUGAGUUGCUCUUCGUGUGUCCUCAGCAGGCUCAGCAGUUUUGCUAUGAAGCAAGUGCCACUCUUCCCUUUCUCCCGUGAAGUACAAUAAAUUGUCUUUGCCAGAAGAAA
Non-coding RNA from Myodes glareolus (Bank vole), 5341 nucleotides. NCBI's taxonomy places the organism in Eukaryota, Metazoa, Chordata, Mammalia, Rodentia, Cricetidae. The record is from RefSeq and is a predicted model, not a curated record.